Sinocyclocheilus anshuiensis is the source of this 487-nucleotide long non-coding RNA. RefSeq lists it as uncharacterized. The record is from RefSeq and is a predicted model, not a curated record. NCBI's taxonomy places the organism in Eukaryota, Metazoa, Chordata, Actinopteri, Cypriniformes, Cyprinidae. The transcript is spliced from 3 exons.
UACAAAAUGUCCAGUGUUGGGGGACGCCCAGGACCAGGGUUGAGAAACACUGCUCUAAUACUAAAAUGGUGGUGCCUCAUUCUCUUGGAAAAUUUUGCUGUUGAAAGGAAACAUGUCCUCACUGCGUGCAAGUGCCGGAAGAGCAGGAGAUUGAAAUCUGCAGCAGGGAGCCAAGCAUAACAAAAGGCCUCCACACUGCAGUUGGAUGGCUGCGGAAAAACCUCUGUGUCUUCAGAGGUUUGGUGAAAGAGCUGAGGCUCCUCCAACUGAAAGAGGAAGACCAGAAGAAAGCUCUUCUUCAGCUUUCACAGGCUGAAAUGUCUGACUACCAGCAACUGGCCAAAGAACCAAUUUAAGGAUAAUAUGGACAUUUUUCUCGAUGAGUGCAUGGACAAAAGGGGCCUCAAAAUAAAUUGCAUGUUUCUCUAGUUUUGAUUUAUUUUAGUUUUUUUUUUUAAAAUUUUGAUACUUAUUGUUAAAUAUGUGC